Molecule: unclassified non-coding RNA, 340 nt
Filed under: soil metagenome
Description: partial contains 5.8S ribosomal RNA, internal transcribed spacer 2, and large subunit ribosomal RNA
Rfam family: 5.8S ribosomal RNA (bases 1-120)
Source: RNAcentral
GAUGAAGAACGUAGCGAAAUGCGAUACGUAGUGUGAAUUGCAGAAUUCAGUGAAUCAUCGAAUCUUUGAACGCACAUUGCACCUCUCGGUAUUCCGGGAGGUAUGCCUGUUCGAGCGUCAUUUGUACCCCCAAGCUCUGCUUGGUGUUGGGUGUUUGUUCCGCCUCUGUGUGUGAACUCGCCUCAAAACAAUUGGCAGCCGGCGUACUUGUUUCGGAGCGCAGCACAUUUUGCGAUCCAGAUCAACGUACAGCGGCAUCCAAGAAGCCUUAUUUAACGCUCUUGACCUCGGAUCAGGUAGGGAUACCCGCUGAACUUAAGCAUAUCAAUAAGCGGGAGGA